GGGUCAGUAGGUUGGUCGUGCCACCGGUACGUACUGGUCUCACUGAUUCCUCCUUCCUGAAGAACCGUAAUGCCAUUAAUUUGGUGUGGCGGGGAAACAGGACCGUUACUUUGAAAAAAUUAGAGUGUUUAAAGCAAGCUAACGCUUGAAUACAUUAGCAUGGAAUAAUGAAAUAGGACGAUCGAUCCUAUUUUGUUGGUUUCUAGGAUUGACGUA
RNAcentral lists this ribosomal RNA (216 nucleotides) under Glomeromycotina sp. Its description in RNAcentral is "partial small subunit ribosomal RNA". The stretch from base 40 to 216 matches the Rfam family "Eukaryotic small subunit ribosomal RNA", at positions 686 to 864 of the family's 1831-position model. The record is from RNAcentral. Lineage: Eukaryota; Fungi; Glomeromycota.